AUUUCAUUUUUCAGCCUUCAAAACAAAAGGAGUUUAAAAAACUCUCUCAACCCCUUUUAUCUCCCUUCUCCCUUCUUCACCGGCCAAUAGGGCUCUGGUCGCCGGAAAUCGAAAAAAGGGUGGUUGGCGGCAGAGCAGUUGGAGUGGUUGAUGCUAGGGGCGGUGGCUGACGGCUAGGGAAGAAGACCUAGGUGCGGCGCACCUAGGGUUUGAAAUUUUUUGUUUUUUCUGUUAUGGGUUUGGGCUAGGUUAGGGUUUGUAAUGGGUUUGUUUCUGUUUAAUUGUGGUUUGGGCUGACAUGAUGGGUUUGAUGAAAUUAGGACUUUUGAUGUUGUAAAUAGACUUUAAUAAUUUUGGACUUUAUUUUAUAUUUGUGUUUUUUUAUUGAUUUGGGCUCGGGUUGGGCAAAAUAA
Gossypium arboreum is the source of this 413-nucleotide long non-coding RNA. RefSeq lists it as uncharacterized. The record is from RefSeq and is a predicted model, not a curated record. The transcript is spliced from 2 exons. Lineage: Eukaryota; Viridiplantae; Streptophyta; Magnoliopsida; Malvales; Malvaceae.